RNAcentral lists this ribosomal RNA (1443 nucleotides) under uncultured organism. RNAcentral describes it as "SSU rRNA". It matches the Rfam family "Bacterial small subunit ribosomal RNA". The record is from RNAcentral.
CUAUCUACAGACUUAACACAUGCAAGUCGAGGGGCAGCAUGGUCUUAGCUUGCUAAGGCCGAUGGCGACCGGCGCACGGGUGAGUAACACGUAUCCAACCUGCCGUCUACUCUUGGACAGCCUUCUGAAAGGAAGAUUAAUACAAGAUGGCAUCAUGAGUCCGCAUGUUCACAUGAUUAAAGGUAUUCCGGUAGACGAUGGGGAUGCGUUCCAUUAGAUAGUAGGCGGGGUAACGGCCCACCUAGUCUUCGAUGGAUAGGGGUUCUGAGAGGAAGGUCCCCCACAUUGGAACUGAGACACGGUCCAAACUCCUACGGGAGGCAGCAGUGAGGAAUAUUGGUCAAUGGGCGAGAGCCUGAACCAGCCAAGUAGCGUGAAGGAUGACUGCCCUAUGGGUUGUAAACUUCUUUUAUAAAGGAAUAAAGUCGGGUAUGGAUACCCGUUUGCAUGUACUUUAUGAAUAAGGAUCGGCUAACUCCGUGCCAGCAGCCGCGGUAAUACGGAGGAUCCGAGCGUUAUCCGGAUUUAUUGGGUUUAAAGGGAGCGUAGAUGGAUGUUUAAGUCAGUUGUGAAAGUUUGCGGCUCAACCGUAAAAUUGCAGUUGAUACUGGAUAUCUUGAGUGCAGUUGAGGCAGGCGGAAUUCGUGGUGUAGCGGUGAAAUGCUUAGAUAUCACGAAGAACUCCGAUUGCGAAGGCAGCCUGCUAAGCUGCAACUGACAUUGAGGCUCGAAAGUGUGGGUAUCAAACAGGAUUAGAUACCCUGGUAGUCCACACGGUAAACGAUGAAUACUCGCUGUUUGCGAUAUACUGCAAGCGGCCAAGCGAAAGCGUUAAGUAUUCCCACCUGGGGAGUACGCCGGCAACGGUGAAACUCGAAGGAAUUGACGGGGGCCCGCACAAGCGGAGGAACAUGUGGUUUAAUUCGAUGAUACGCGAGGAACCUUACCCGGGCUUAAAUUGCAGAUGAAUUACGGUGAAAGCCGUAAGCCGCAAGGCAUCUGUGAAGGUGCUGCAUGGUUGUCGUCAGCUCGUGCCGUGAGGUGUCGGCUUAAGUGCCAUAACGAGCGCAACCCUUGUUGUCAGUUACUAACAGGUUCCGCUGAGGACUCUGACAAGACUGCCAUCGUAAGAUGUGAGGAAGGUGGGGAUGACGUCAAAUCAGCACGGCCCUUACGUCCGGGGCUACACACGUGUUACAAUGGGGGGUACAGAGGGCCGCUACCACGCGAGUGGAUGCCAAUCCCCAAAACCUCUCUCAGUUCGGACUGGAGUCUGCAACCCGACUCCACGAAGCUGGAUUCGCUAGUAAUCGCGCAUCAGCCACGGCGCGGUGAAUACGUUCCCGGGCCUUGUACACACCGCCCGUCAAGCCAUGGGAGCCGGGGGUACCUGAAGUGCGUAACCGCGAGGAGCGCCCUAGGGUAAAACUGGUGACUGGGGCU